CCUAGAGUUGUAGGCUUUGCCUGCUAUCUCUUACCCAUGUCUUUUGAGUACUUACGUUUCCUCGGCGGGUCCGCCCGCCGAUUGGACAAUUUAAACCAUUUGCAGUUGCAAUCAGCGUCUGAAAAACUUUAAUUAGUUA
RNAcentral lists this unclassified non-coding RNA (139 nucleotides) under soil metagenome. Its description in RNAcentral is "partial internal transcribed spacer 1". The record is from RNAcentral.